GGCUUCGUGGUCGAGUGGUAAGGACACUUGCCUCUUACCCAGGAAUCCCGGGUUCGAUGCUCGGGCGAAGAGCUA
Non-coding RNA from Rhamnusium bicolor, 75 nucleotides. The record is from the annotation of a GenBank genome assembly. Lineage: Eukaryota; Metazoa; Arthropoda; Insecta; Coleoptera; Cerambycidae.